RNAcentral lists this non-coding RNA (147 nucleotides) under uncultured Garciella sp. The record is from RNAcentral. Lineage: Bacteria; Bacillati; Bacillota; Clostridia; Eubacteriales; Eubacteriaceae.
GGGUGUUACUACUUAAUAGGGAAAAUGGUGAAAAUCCACUACAGCCCCCGCUACUGUAAGUGUGGACGAGCUCAUAGGGACCACUGUCUUUUAGAUGGGAAGGAUGAGUAGAGAAUGAAGCACGAGUCAGAAGACCUGCCUUAAAAA